CAUGCAAGUCGAGCGAAUGGAUGGGAGCUUGCUCCCUGAAGUUAGCGGCGGACGGGUGAGUAACACGUGGGCAACCUGCCUGUAAGACUGGGAUAACUUCGGGAAACCGGAGCUAAUACCGGAUACGUUCUUUCCUCGCAUGAGGAAAGAUGGAAAGACGGUUUCGGCUGUCACUUACAGAUGGGCCCGCGGCGCAUUAGCUAGUUGGUGAGGUAAUGGCUCACCAAGGCCACGAUGCGUAGCCGACCUGAGAGGGUGAUCGGCCACACUGGGACUGAGACACGGCCCAGACUCCUACGGGAGGCAGCAGUAGGGAAUCUUCCGCAAUGGACGAAAGUCUGACGGAGCAACGCCGCGUGAGCGAAGAAGGCCUUCGGGUCGUAAAGCUCUGUUGUUAGGGAAGAACAAGUGCCAGAGUAACUGCUGGCACCUUGACGGUACCUAACCAGAAAGCCACGGCUAACUACGUGCCAGCAGCCGCGGUAAUACGUAGGUGGCAAGCGUUGUCCGGAAUUAUUGGGCGUAAAGCGCGCGCAGGUGGUUCCUUAAGUCUGAUGUGAAAGCCCACGGCUCAACCGUGGAGGGUCAUUGGAAACUGGGGGACUUGAGUGCAGAAGAGGAAAGUGGAAUUCCAAGUGUAGCGGUGAAAUGCGUAGAGAUUUGGAGGAACACCAGUGGCGAAGGCGACUUUUCUGGUCUGUAACUGACACUGAGCGCGAAAGCGUGGGGAGCAAACAGAUUAGAUACCCUGGUAGUCCACGCCGUAAACGAUGAGUGCUAAGUGUUAGAGGGUUUCCGCCCUUU
RNAcentral lists this ribosomal RNA (804 nucleotides) under Bacillus sp. (in: firmicutes). RNAcentral describes it as "bacterial SSU rRNA". It matches the Rfam family "Bacterial small subunit ribosomal RNA", at positions 54 to 841 of the family's 1533-position model. Lineage: Bacteria; Bacillati; Bacillota; Bacilli; Caryophanales; Bacillaceae. The record is from RNAcentral.